This 253-nucleotide ribosomal RNA is filed under the name uncultured bacterium. RNAcentral describes it as "partial 16S ribosomal RNA". It matches the Rfam family "Bacterial small subunit ribosomal RNA", at positions 524 to 776 of the family's 1533-position model. The record is from RNAcentral.
UACGUAGGGUGCAAGCGUUGUCCGGAAUUAUUGGGCGUAAAGAGCUCGUAGGCGGUUUGUCGCGUCUGCUGUGAAAACCCGAGGCUCAACCUCGGGCCUGCAGUGGGUACGGGCAGACUAGAGUGCGGUAGGGGAGAUUGGAAUUCCUGGUGUAGCGGUGGAAUGCGCAGAUAUCAGGAGGAACACCGGUGGUGUAGACGGCUUCCUGGACCACAACUGACGCUGAGACACGAAAGCGUGGGGAGCAAACAGG